This 1356-nucleotide ribosomal RNA is filed under the name uncultured marine eukaryote. RNAcentral describes it as "SSU rRNA". It matches the Rfam family "Eukaryotic small subunit ribosomal RNA", at positions 411 to 1779 of the family's 1831-position model. The record is from RNAcentral.
CACUUCUAAGGAAGGCAGCAGGCGCGCAAAUUACCCAAUCCUGACUCAGGGAGGUAGUGACAAGAAAUAACAAUAAACCGGCUUAUGCCGGUUUAAUUGGAAUGAGUACAAUUUAAACAUCUUAACGAGGAACAAUUGGAGGGCAAGUCUGGUGCCAGCAGCCGCGGUAAUUCCAGCUCCAAUAGCGUAUACUAAAGUUGUUGCAGUUAAAAAGCUCGUAGUUGGAUUUCUGUGGGGACGGAGCGGCCGGCCGCAACUCGCGGUUCGAGCUAGCGCUUUCCCUACAUCCUGCCGCGAACCGUGCUACCAUUAGUUUGGUGGCGCCGGGGAUCGGCUCGAUUACUUUGAGAAAAAUAGAGUGUUCAAAGCAGGCCACACGCCUUGAAUAAGUUAGCAUGGAAUAAUAACUAAGGACUUCGGUUCUAUUUUGUUGGUGUUCGGGACUGAAGUAAUGAUUGAUAGGGACAGUUGGGGCGGUCUGUAUUCCAAAGCGAGAGGUGAAAUUCUUAGACCUUCGGAAGACAAACAGCUGCGAAAGCGUUCCGCAAGGAUGUUCCCUUUGAUCAAGAACGAAAGUUGGGGGAUCGAAGGCGAUCAGAUACCGUCGUAGUCUCAACUAUAAACUAUACCAGCUAGGGAUCGGCCAACGUUAUUUUAUACCGACUUGGUCGGCACCUUAUGAGAAAUCAAAGCAUCUGGGUUCCGGGGGGAGUAUGGUCACAAGGCUGAAACUUAAAGGAAUUGACGGAAGGGCACCACCAGCCGUGGAGCCUGUGGCUUAAUUUGACUCAACACGGGAAAACUUACCAGGUCCAGACAUAGUAAGGAUUGACAGAUUGAUAGCUCUUUCUUGAUUCUGUGGGUGGUGGUGCAUGGCCGUUCUUAGUUGGUGGAGUGAUUUGUCUGGUUAAUUCCGUUAACGAACGAGACCCCAGCCUGCUAAAUAGCGCGCGUGAGCUUUGCUCGCGGCGAGCUUCUUAGAGGGACUAUGAUGCGCGAUAGCACAUGGAAGUUUGGGGCAAUAACAGGUCUGUGAUGCCCUUAGAUGUUCUGGGCCGCACACGGGCUACACUGGCGCCUGCAACGAGCAUAUCAGCUGGCCCGAGAGGGUCUUGGCUAAUCUUUUGAACCGGCGCCGUGCUUGGGAUUGACCUUUGCAAUUGUUGGUCAUGCAACGAGGAAUGCCUUGUAAACGCGAGUCAUCAGCUCGCAUUGAAUACGUCCCUGCCCUUUGUACACACCGCCCGUCGCUCCUACCGAUGAAUGUUCCGAUGAAAUUUUCGGAGAGCACCUGUGAACUUGGCUCUGCCUUGCGAACGGGAGGCUCAAAGUCACUUAAAUCUGAACAUUUCGAGG